RNAcentral lists this ribosomal RNA (2774 nucleotides) under Escherichia sp. MOD1-EC5287. RNAcentral describes it as "bacterial LSU rRNA". It matches the Rfam family "Bacterial large subunit ribosomal RNA". The record is from RNAcentral. Lineage: Bacteria; Pseudomonadati; Pseudomonadota; Gammaproteobacteria; Enterobacterales; Enterobacteriaceae.
AGCGUACACGGUGGAUGCCCUGGCAGUCAGAGGCGAUGAAGGACGUGCUAAUCUGCGAUAAGCGUCGGUAAGGUGAUAUGAACCGUUAUAACCGGCGAUUUCCGAAUGGGGAAACCCAGUGUGUUUCGACACACUAUCAUUAACUGAAUCCAUAGGUUAAUGAGGCGAACCGGGGGAACUGAAACAUCUAAGUACCCCGAGGAAAAGAAAUCAACCGAGAUUCCCCCAGUAGCGGCGAGCGAACGGGGAGCAGCCCAGAGCCUGAAUCAGUGUGUGUGUUAGUGGAAGCGUCUGGAAAGGCGCGCGAUACAGGGUGACAGCCCCGUACACAAAAAUGCACAUGCUGUGAGCUCGAUGAGUAGGGCGGGACACGUGGUAUCCUGUCUGAAUAUGGGGGGACCAUCCUCCAAGGCUAAAUACUCCUGACUGACCGAUAGUGAACCAGUACCGUGAGGGAAAGGCGAAAAGAACCCCGGCGAGGGGAGUGAAAAAGAACCUGAAACCGUGUACGUACAAGCAGUGGGAGCCUCUUUAUGGGGUGACUGCGUACCUUUUGUAUAAUGGGUCAGCGACUUAUAUUCUGUAGCAAGGUUAACCGAAUAGGGGAGCCGAAGGGAAACCGAGUCUUAACUGGGCGUUAAGUUGCAGGGUAUAGACCCGAAACCCGGUGAUCUAGCCAUGGGCAGGUUGAAGGUUGGGUAACACUAACUGGAGGACCGAACCGACUAAUGUUGAAAAAUUAGCGGAUGACUUGUGGCUGGGGGUGAAAGGCCAAUCAAACCGGGAGAUAGCUGGUUCUCCCCGAAAGCUAUUUAGGUAGCGCCUCGUGAAUUCAUCUCCGGGGGUAGAGCACUGUUUCGGCAAGGGGGUCAUCCCGACUUACCAACCCGAUGCAAACUGCGAAUACCGGAGAAUGUUAUCACGGGAGACACACGGCGGGUGCUAACGUCCGUCGUGAAGAGGGAAACAACCCAGACCGCCAGCUAAGGUCCCAAAGUCAUGGUUAAGUGGGAAACGAUGUGGGAAGGCCCAGACAGCCAGGAUGUUGGCUUAGAAGCAGCCAUCAUUUAAAGAAAGCGUAAUAGCUCACUGGUCGAGUCGGCCUGCGCGGAAGAUGUAACGGGGCUAAACCAUGCACCGAAGCUGCGGCAGCGACGCUUAUGCGUUGUUGGGUAGGGGAGCGUUCUGUAAGCCUGUGAAGGUGUACUGUGAGGUAUGCUGGAGGUAUCAGAAGUGCGAAUGCUGACAUAAGUAACGAUAAAGCGGGUGAAAAGCCCGCUCGCCGGAAGACCAAGGGUUCCUGUCCAACGUUAAUCGGGGCAGGGUGAGUCGACCCCUAAGGCGAGGCCGAAAGGCGUAGUCGAUGGGAAACAGGUUAAUAUUCCUGUACUUGGUGUUACUGCGAAGGGGGGACGGAGAAGGCUAUGUUGGCCGGGCGACGGUUGUCCCGGUUUAAGCGUGUAGGCUGGUUUUCCAGGCAAAUCCGGAAAAUCAAGGCUGAGGCGUGAUGACGAGGCACUACGGUGCUGAAGCAACAAAUGCCCUGCUUCCAGGAAAAGCCUCUAAGCAUCAGGUAACAUCAAAUCGUACCCCAAACCGACACAGGUGGUCAGGUAGAGAAUACCAAGGCGCUUGAGAGAACUCGGGUGAAGGAACUAGGCAAAAUGGUGCCGUAACUUCGGGAGAAGGCACGCUGAUAUGUAGGUGAAGCGACUUGCUCGUGGAGCUGAAAUCAGUCGAAGAUACCAGCUGGCUGCAACUGUUUAUUAAAAACACAGCACUGUGCAAACACGAAAGUGGACGUAUACGGUGUGACGCCUGCCCGGUGCCGGAAGGUUAAUUGAUGGGGUUAGCGGCAACGCGAAGCUCUUGAUCGAAGCCCCGGUAAACGGCGGCCGUAACUAUAACGGUCCUAAGGUAGCGAAAUUCCUUGUCGGGUAAGUUCCGACCUGCACGAAUGGCGUAAUGAUGGCCAGGCUGUCUCCACCCGAGACUCAGUGAAAUUGAACUCGCUGUGAAGAUGCAGUGUACCCGCGGCAAGACGGAAAGACCCCGUGAACCUUUACUAUAGCUUGACACUGAACAUUGAGCCUUGAUGUGUAGGAUAGGUGGGAGGCUUUGAAGUGUGGACGCCAGUCUGCAUGGAGCCGACCUUGAAAUACCACCCUUUAAUGUUUGAUGUUCUAACGUUGGCCCCUUAUCGGGGUUGCGGACAGUGUCUGGUGGGUAGUUUGACUGGGGCGGUCUCCUCCUAAAGAGUAACGGAGGAGCACGAAGGUUGGCUAAUCCUGGUCGGACAUCAGGAGGUUAGUGCAAUGGCAUAAGCCAGCUUGACUGCGAGCGUGACGGCGCGAGCAGGUGCGAAAGCAGGUCAUAGUGAUCCGGUGGUUCUGAAUGGAAGGGCCAUCGCUCAACGGAUAAAAGGUACUCCGGGGAUAACAGGCUGAUACCGCCCAAGAGUUCAUAUCGACGGCGGUGUUUGGCACCUCGAUGUCGGCUCAUCACAUCCUGGGGCUGAAGUAGGUCCCAAGGGUAUGGCUGUUCGCCAUUUAAAGUGGUACGCGAGCUGGGUUUAGAACGUCGUGAGACAGUUCGGUCCCUAUCUGCCGUGGGCGCUGGAGAACUGAGGGGGGCUGCUCCUAGUACGAGAGGACCGGAGUGGACGCAUCACUGGUGUUCGGGUUGUCAUGCCAAUGGCACUGCCCGGUAGCUAAAUGCGGAAGAGAUAAGUGCUGAAAGCAUCUAAGCACGAAACUUGCCCCGAGAUGAGUUCU